Molecule: long non-coding RNA, 255 nt
Filed under: Lupinus angustifolius (narrow-leaved blue lupine)
Lineage: Eukaryota; Viridiplantae; Streptophyta; Magnoliopsida; Fabales; Fabaceae
Description: long non-coding RNA (LANG_LNC000292)
Source: RNAcentral
GGUGGCAACAUUGAUCAUUGUAGGAGGAGCAGACACAAAAGGUCUUGUUCUUGUGUUGAAAGAAUUAGCAUUGAUGGAAUCAGAUGCCAAUAGCAUAUGAUAGCUACUGUUUGAAACAUCUGAGUUAUGUUUUUGCUUUGUUAUUGCAUGAAUAAUAUAUGGAAUUAAACCUUCCAUUGUUUUUCUCUCUUCUUUGAUCUCUCACAAUCACAAACUUUUACUUACCAUGAAUUAAUAUUGUGAACCUUCAAUUUU